RNAcentral lists this ribosomal RNA (242 nucleotides) under uncultured Lactobacillus sp. RNAcentral describes it as "partial 16S ribosomal RNA". It matches the Rfam family "Bacterial small subunit ribosomal RNA", at positions 123 to 355 of the family's 1533-position model. The record is from RNAcentral. Lineage: Bacteria; Bacillati; Bacillota; Bacilli; Lactobacillales; Lactobacillaceae.
AACCGUCGCCCCAUAGUCUGGGAUACCACUUGGAAACAGGUGCUGAUACCGGAUAAGAAAGCGGAUCGCAUGAUCAGCUUUUAAAAGGCGGCGUAAGCUGUCGCUAUGGGAUGGCCCCGCGGUGCAUUAGCUAGUUGGUAAGGUAAAGGCUUACCAAGGCGAUGAUGCAUAGCCGAGUUGAGAGACUGAUCGGCCACAUUGGGACUGAGACACGGCCCAAACUCCUACGGGAGGCAGCAGUC